GCCGGGGUAGCUCAGUCGGCAGAGCGAUUCACUCGUAAUGAAUAGGUCAGGGGUUCGAUUCCCCUCCCCGGCU
RNAcentral lists this transfer RNA (73 nucleotides) under Actinomycetota bacterium. Its description in RNAcentral is "tRNA-Thr". It matches the Rfam family "tRNA". From Rfam's summary of the family: Transfer RNA (tRNA) molecules are approximately 80 nucleotides in length. Their secondary structure includes four short double-helical elements and three loops (D, anti-codon, and T loops). Lineage: Bacteria; Bacillati; Actinomycetota. RNAcentral also lists the same sequence under 1 other name. The record is from RNAcentral.